RNAcentral lists this non-coding RNA (29 nucleotides) under Homo sapiens (human). Lineage: Eukaryota; Metazoa; Chordata; Mammalia; Primates; Hominidae. The record is from RNAcentral.
UCCCCCAAGAUGUGGAGCCAUCAGCUGCA